ACAAGGUUUCCGUAGGUGAACCUGCGGAAGGAUCAUUACCGAGAGUGCCCUUUUGGGGGCGACCUCCCACCCGUGAUUACAUACCGAUGUUGCUUUGGCGGGCGGCUUGCUCCGGCUUGCCACACGCCCGUCUGAGGCCCCAAAAACCUUUGUUUACUGUGAAGUCUUGAGUGAAACAACAAAAACUUCAAAAAACUUUCAACAACGGAUCUCUUGGUUCCGGCAUUGAUGAAGAACGCAGCGAAAUGCGAUAAGUAAUGUGAAUUGCAGAAUUCAGUGAAUCAUCGAAUCUUUGAACGCACAUUGCGCCCUUUGGUAUUCCGAGGGGCAUGCCUGUCCGAGCGUCAUUGCACCACUCAAGCUCCGCUUGGUAUUGGGAUACACCCCAGGGGUGGCCCCGAAAAGCAGUGGCGGUCCGGCGAGACUCUAAGCGUAGUARAUUUUAUUUUCCCGCUUUGGACGAUCGAGCCGUGGCCUGCCAGUGUCAACCGCGCUUGCUUCGCGCUCUCUAAUGGUUGACCUCGGAUCAGGUAGGGAUACCCGCUGAACUUAA
Molecule: ribosomal RNA, 553 nt
Filed under: Leprocaulon santamonicae
Lineage: Eukaryota; Fungi; Ascomycota; Lecanoromycetes; Leprocaulales; Leprocaulaceae
Description: eukaryotic LSU rRNA
Rfam family: 5.8S ribosomal RNA (bases 194-347)
Source: RNAcentral